ACACCCAUCAGACAUGAAAAAAUUCCCCAGGGAAAGCUUUGGUUUCUCCAAUUGAGAGAUAUGCAGUUGUUCCUGAUGACAACGUCAAAAGGAUAAAUUUUGCCGAGGGGAAGAUCUGAUUCUAGAAGUAAGGAAUUUGGAGCUUGAUUUUUGAAAUAGGCUCAAAAUUGAGAUCUUGUUGGAAAUUUUUUAUUUUUUAUUUCUUGUAAGAGCAUUUAAAUAUCCAAUGUG
Non-coding RNA from Camellia sinensis, 231 nucleotides. The record is from RefSeq and is a predicted model, not a curated record. Lineage: Eukaryota; Viridiplantae; Streptophyta; Magnoliopsida; Ericales; Theaceae.